This 430-nucleotide ribosomal RNA is filed under the name uncultured Enterobacteriaceae bacterium. RNAcentral's name for it is "bacterial SSU rRNA". It matches the Rfam family "Bacterial small subunit ribosomal RNA", at positions 355 to 774 of the family's 1533-position model. Lineage: Bacteria; Pseudomonadati; Pseudomonadota; Gammaproteobacteria; Enterobacterales; Enterobacteriaceae. The record is from RNAcentral.
UGGGGAAUAUUGCACAAUGGGCGCAAGCCUGAUGCAGCCAUGCCGCGUGUAUGAAGAAGGCCUUCGGGUUGUAAAGUACUUUCAGCGAGGAGGAAGGUGUUUGUGGGUUAAUAACCGCAGCAAUUGACGUUACUCGCAGAAGAAGCACCGGCUAACUCCGUGCCAGCAGCCGCGGUAAUACGGAGGGUGCAAGCGUUAAUCGGAAUUACUGGGCGUAAAGCGCACGCAGGCGGUCUGUCAAGUCGGAUGUGAAAUCCCCGGGCUCAACCUGGGAACUGCAUCCGAAACUGGCAGGCUAGAGUCUUGUAGAGGGGGGUAGAAUUCCGAGGUGUAGCGGUGAAAUUGCGUAGAGAUCUGGAGGAAUACCGGUGGCGAAGGCGGCCCCCUGGACAAAGACUGACGCUCAGGUGCGAAAGCGUGGGAGCAAACA